UUGACCAUGCGGUUUGGUCUGACGGAAGGCGGACGCACAACUGCGAGCCGAUGAACAACAACAUCAUAUGAGGCGUAGGCUGGAGGCGGGUUGGCACAAGACGACGAAGCCAUGUGAUCUAACGGCCACCGUCAAUGAUGCAGUUGCGCGGGGGAAGUUCAUGUU
Molecule: non-coding RNA, 165 nt
Filed under: Betaproteobacteria bacterium MOLA814
Lineage: Bacteria; Pseudomonadati; Pseudomonadota; Betaproteobacteria
Source: RNAcentral